Molecule: ribosomal RNA, 3766 nt
Filed under: Candidatus Pacearchaeota archaeon
Lineage: Archaea; Nanobdellati
Description: 23S ribosomal RNA
Rfam family: Archaeal large subunit ribosomal RNA
Source: RNAcentral
AGAGUAUAGUUUUUUACACUGUUAGACGGAUAGCUUGGUUUACGUUAUGAAGAAGGACAUGGCAAGCUGUGAAAAGCCUCGGGGAUCUGCAUGCGAGAUUUGAUCCGAGGAUUUCCGAAUGCGAUGAUACGUUUGCGAAUGCAAAAUCCGAGAGGAUAAUGUACUCCGGGAAUUGAAACAUCUUAGUACCGGAAGGAGAAGAAAACAAAUUAGUGAUGCUCUUAUUAGCAGCGAGCGAAAAGGGCAGAGGGCAAACCGAAUCUGUCUUCGAAAGGAGAUUAGAGAUGUGGUGAAUAAUGUCCUGUGUUAUGAAGUCAAAAUGUUCUGGAAAGAACUGCCGCAGAGAGUGAUAGCCUCGUAGACUGAUUAAUAUGGACUAGUUCGAUACAGAGUAGUGUUUCUCAAAUUAGAAGCAUGAAUAUGGCAGAAUUAACUGCUAACCCUAAAUAUGAACGUAAGUCCGAUAGUGCACUAGUACCGCGAGGGAAAGCUGAAAAGAACUCUUAAUCGAGAGUUAAAAGACUUGAAAUCUAACAGUUGCAGUUUGUUACUGCUCUUUCACAAAUGUGAAAAGGGUUGUAACGUACGUCUUGAAAAACGGGCCAGGGAGUUUGCUUAAGUGGCGAGGUUAACGUAAAGGAAGCCAUAGCGAAAGCGAGUCUGAAAAGGCGCAAGUCACUUGGGUAAGACCUGAAGCCAGAUGAUCUAAUCAUGAGCAAGGCGAAGUUUUCCGAAAGGGAAAUGGAGGCCUGAACUAGUGUUGUGUGCAUGCACUUGGAUGAUUUGUGAUUAGGGGUGAAAAGCCAAUCUAAUCUGGCAAUGGCUGGUUCCUGCUAAAAUAUGCCUACGUAUAGUCUCAUUAUGUUUUCUUACGGUGUAAAGUACGGAUAGGUCGUGCAGAGGGCUUUUCCUACGGCGAACUUUCCAACUCAGAAACUGUAAGACGCGGAGAAUGGGAAACAGCGGCGGCGCGUAAGGUGCCGUCACGAGACCGGAACAAAGGAGACCAAAGUUAAGGUCCCAAAAUAUAUGUUAAGUGCAUCAAAAGGAGUUUUAAACCUGAGACAGUGGGGAGGUAGACAUAGAAGCCGUCAUCCUUUAAAGAAAGCGUAACAGCUCACCUAUUGAGGUUUGAAGCCCUGAAAAUGGACGGGGCUAAAACAUAUUACCGACACUUUGGAGUUACUCAUUUGAGUAAUCUAGUAAGCAGGCGUACUUGUAGCGUAGAAGCUUUUUCUAAAGAAAGAGUGGAGCUAUUAGUAAUGAGAAUCCUGGUAAUAGUAAGAACUAAUUUCGCUGAGAAUCGCGAAAUGUCGUAAGAGUAAGGUUUCCUUGGCAAUAUCAAUUAACCAAGGGUUAGUCGGACCCUAAGAUGCACCUUAACUGCGUGCAUCGAUGGACAACAGGUUAAUAUUCCUGUACUGUUUAUAUUUUAUGACGUGAUUUGCUUCAGGAUAAGCGAGAUUCCGAGAGGAAGCCUGUACAAAGAAAUUUGGGGAGCGUAAUGCGUAGAUCCAGAAUAAUUUGUGCAGUUAACGUCGCUGAUUCCAGGAGCCAGUGAAAAGAUCACGUAUUACGAAUGUAAGCAUCCGUACUAAGAAUCGACACUGAUACUCUAGCUGAGAAGGCUAAGACAUGAAAGCUAAAUCUAGUUAAGGGAAUUCGGCAACAUUGGCCCUUUAGCUUCGGUAGAAGGGGUGUCUAUUUUCGUCUUUUUAGAAAUAGGAAGGCGUUUGUAGAUCUCAGUAACAAGGACGGUUCGACUGUUUAUCAAAAACAUAGCCGGUUGCUAAUCUGAAAAGACUUGUAUAACCGGUGAAACCUGCCCAGUGGUGGUGCUUAAAACCGUGUUUCAACGCGGCUAAGACCCAUCAAACGGCGGGCCUAAUUCCUGAGGCUCUUAAGGUGAAUUGCAUUGCCUUACGUCGCUUAUAGCGACGCUGUGUAACCUCAAGAAACGAAUCGUUUAAGUUAAAGGACAAUGAAUAAACCAUAUAUUAACACAGAAAAUUUGACUAUUUGCUGGAACAUCUUGAUGAAUCGUCGUCGGAUAUUGUUCUUGUGAAAGAAUAACGAACCCGGAAAAUCGACUAGGAAAGACAAUCAGCAGGGAAGACUGGAAUUAAUUGUUAUUAUUAAGUAAUGACAAAAUAGAAACAUUUAAAUACUCUAUUUCUAUCCUUAUUAAAUGGAUAGAAAUCAAUAUCUUGGAAAAUUAGAAAAUUUUGUUGAUAAAUUUAAUGAAUAUUCUGAAAGAGCAAGAAUAAGAGGAUCCCCUCAUUCAAAUAUGCAGGGAUGGAAUGUUGUUGCUACGUUAUGGUAUAUGUUAAGAAUAGAGUUAUUAAAUUCGAGAGCAAGUUAUUCUGGUUUAGAAAUACCCCCAUUGGAUAAAGAUGAAAAUGGAAAAUUCUACAUUAGAACAAAUUAAAAAAUAUUUAUUCUAGAACCCUCAGAGAUCAUACGCCAAACAUUAAUUUAUAAUGAAGAUAUGAUCCGAUCUUUACAGUGAUGUAAAGAGCUUAUUAGAAAUAAUAAGACGCCGAUUAGAAAAAUUAAAAAAUAGAACUUCUUGAUUAUUAAUUGUAUGGUAUUACUAUUAACAACUUUGGUUUUUGAAUGCGUAGAUGAUUUGGGAUAUCACUUUGAUGUUGAAUACAUCGGAGAAAAUUAUCAAAAUAUCGUUGACACAUUAGAUCACAAAGGUUAUAAUCCUUGGUUACCUAUAACACAAGGAAUUUUUGUACCAGCACGAUUAAUAGAAUUACAUUAUAAUGGAAAUUCAGAAGAAAGAAUUCUCACAUUUAAUGAAUUCAAACAUUUAGGAAGACCAUUUUAUUUAAUCGGUCAGUAAUUUUCCGUCGAGGAAAAUGAAGUAACAGUCAUGAGCGUAAUACCUUGUCAUCUGAAUGGUGACUUGCAUGAAUGGUUUAACGAAAUCGUCACUGUCCCUAACUAGAAACUUCUGAAAAUAUCCUCCGGUGAACAGACCGGAGACGCCUAAUGGGAAGUGAAGACCUUGUGGACCUUUACUGCAACUUGUUGUUGUGAGUUUACGAUUGGUACUUAGCAUAAGUAGGAGAAUACGCGCAGCUUCGGCGAGGCGGCAUGUCGACAUUGUAAUACUACUUACUUUUUGUAGAUUCACUUACUCUUUUGAGGACACCAGCAGGCGGGCAGUUUGGCUGGGGCGGCACCCCUCUGAAAAGAUAUCGGAGGGGCCUAAUGACAAGCUCAUCUACGUCGGAAAUGUAGAGUGGAGUGUAAAGGCAAAAGCUUGUCUGACUGUAUUCCGAAUAGUAAGGAAUGCAGAGGUGAAAGCCGGGCUUAGCGAACCAUUGAUGGCUUUUAAUGGGCCACAAUUGUGACAGAAAAGGUACCACACCGCUGUCGGCUCUUCCUAUCCUGGCUGUGCACAAGCAGCCAAGGGUGUUGGAGUUCACACGUUAAAAGGAAUCGUUAGCUGGGUUAAGAUCGUCGUGAGACAGAUUGUAUAAUAUCUAUUAGGUGUGUCGUUGUCUGAGUGGAAGGAUCUCGUAGUACGAGAGGAACCGAGAUUCGAAGCCUCUGGUUUACCAGUUGUUAUGAGCAGGCUGGGCAGCUACGCUUUAUUUGGAUAAGUGCUGAAAGCAUCUAAGCACGAAGCCAUCCGCAAAACGAGACAACUAAGGCCGUCAUAGAAGAUGACGUUGAUAGAGUUGGUGUGUACGCACGAAGCUUCGGCGACGUGUUCAGCACGCAACUACUAAAAGCUUCAAACCUUUACUCU